GCAGCCGCGAAACUCUAAACUGCCGACAGUGCGAUAUGGGGAUCUCAAGUGCGCAGGCAUAGAGCCUAUGCUUUUGGCACCCUAUGGAGGUGCCCGAAUAAGGGAUGGGCAAGACCGGUGCCAGCCGCCGCGGUAAUACCGGCAGCCCAAGUGAUGGCCGAUCUUAUUGAGCCUAAAGCGUCCGUAGCUGGCCGCGCAAGUCCAUCGGGAAAUCCACCCGCUCAAUAGGUGGGCGUCCGGUAGAAACUGCGUGGCUUGGGGCCGGAAGGCGCGGCGGGUACGUCCGGGGUAGGAGUGAAAUCCUGUAAUCCUGGACGGACCGCCGAUGGAGAAAGCACGUCGAGAGGACGGAUCCGACAGUGAGGGAGGAAAGCCAGGGUCUCGAACCGGAUUAGAUACCCGGGUAGUCCUGGCCGUAAACAAUGCCUGUUAGGUGUGGCUCCCACUACGAGUGGGUGCUGUG
RNAcentral lists this ribosomal RNA (463 nucleotides) under Halorubrum sp. RNAcentral's name for it is "bacterial SSU rRNA". It matches the Rfam family "Archaeal small subunit ribosomal RNA", at positions 335 to 800 of the family's 1478-position model. The record is from RNAcentral. Lineage: Archaea; Methanobacteriati; Methanobacteriota; Halobacteria; Halobacteriales; Haloferacaceae.